Chrysemys picta bellii (western painted turtle) is the source of this 340-nucleotide non-coding RNA. Lineage: Eukaryota; Metazoa; Chordata; Testudines; Emydidae. The record is from RefSeq and is a predicted model, not a curated record.
AUAAAAACUUUUCUGAAACCAGGAUUAUCCAAUUUUUCCACACUCUUGGUGAGUGAAGAAACUGAUCUCUUAUUUGUUGGAGCCAGAGAUGCAAUAUUUGCACUUGACUUGAAUGACAUCUCAAGAGAAAUAGCCAAUGAGGACUGGUUCGCAACAAGGGAUAGACAAUUGGAAUGCAUUCGCAGAGGAAAGGACAAAGUAGAUUGCCGAAACUACAUCCUCCUCCUUCGUAAGAUAAAUGACACUAACUUAUAUGUUUGUGGAACCAAUGCAUUUUACCCAGCUUGUGAUUACAUGGUAAGCAUUUUAUAUACUUAAAUACACCCUUUACUGCGUGUGC